RNAcentral lists this ribosomal RNA (273 nucleotides) under uncultured Lactobacillus sp. RNAcentral's name for it is "partial 16S ribosomal RNA". It matches the Rfam family "Bacterial small subunit ribosomal RNA", at positions 263 to 524 of the family's 1533-position model. The record is from RNAcentral. Lineage: Bacteria; Bacillati; Bacillota; Bacilli; Lactobacillales; Lactobacillaceae.
CCUACCCAAGGCGAUGAUGCAUAGCCCGAGUUGAGAGACUGAUCGGGCCACAGUUGGGACUGAGACACGGACCCAAAACUCCGUACGGGGGCAGCAGUAGGGAAUCUUCCACAAUGGACGCAAGUCUGAUGGAGCAACGCCGCGUGAGUGAAGAAGGGUUUCGGCUCGUAAAGCUCUGUUGUUGGUGAAGAAGGACAGGGGUAGUAACUGACCUUUGUUUGACGGUAAUCAAUUAGAAGUCACGGCUAACUACGUGCCAGCAGCCGCGGUAAU